CCCAGACUCCUACGGGAGGCAGCAGUGGGGGAUAUUGGACAAUGGGGGAAACCCUGAUCCAGCGACGCCGCGUGAGUGAAGAAGUAUUUCGGUAUGUAAAGCUCUGUCAGCAGGGAAGAAAGAAAUGACGGUACCUGACUAAGAAGCCCCGGCUAACUACGUGCCAGCAGCCGCGGUAAUACGUAGGGGGCGAGCGUUAUCCGGAUUCACUGGGUGUAAAGGGAGCGUAGACGGCCGUGCAAGCCAGGAGUGAAAGCCCGGGGCCCAACCCCGGGACUGCUCUUGGAACUGUGCGGCUGGAGUGCGGGAGGGGCAGGCGGAAUUCCUGGUGUAGCGGUGAAAUGCGUAGAUAUCAGGAGGAACACCGGCGGCGAAGGCGGCCUGCUGGACCGCGACUGACGUUGAGGCUCGAAAGCGUGGGGAGCGAACAGGAUUAGAUACCCCGGUAAGG
This 451-nucleotide ribosomal RNA is filed under the name uncultured bacterium. RNAcentral describes it as "bacterial SSU rRNA". It matches the Rfam family "Bacterial small subunit ribosomal RNA", at positions 330 to 793 of the family's 1533-position model. The record is from RNAcentral.